RNAcentral lists this ribosomal RNA (68 nucleotides) under Thauera aminoaromatica. Its description in RNAcentral is "partial 16S ribosomal RNA". Lineage: Bacteria; Pseudomonadati; Pseudomonadota; Betaproteobacteria; Rhodocyclales; Zoogloeaceae. The record is from RNAcentral.
GAUUGAACUUAAGAGUUUGAUCCUGGCUCAGAUUGAACGCUGGCGGCAUGCUUUACACGUGCAAGUCG